RNAcentral lists this long non-coding RNA (1355 nucleotides) under Setaria viridis. RNAcentral describes it as "long non-coding RNA (SVIR_LNC002006)". The record is from RNAcentral. Lineage: Eukaryota; Viridiplantae; Streptophyta; Magnoliopsida; Poales; Poaceae.
GGGAGUAGUAAUUUAUUAUGCAACGGCAAUACACAAAAGCGAAUAAUUUGCAAAAGUGAAAUUUCACUAUUCGAUUCUUAACCGUAUCUUGAAUAUGUCAUGACCUUCGUAACAAUCUCUUUCUCAAUAUGAGAUAAGAAAUUAAAUCAGAAAUAGUUUAGGGGAUAAGGAUUAGGGAAAUAUGGCUUAUUUAUUACAGUUGUUUGAGUUGGAGGAACGACAUCAGGAGUAGGAGGGUCAAUCGUGAUGCCUGCAUGCCCACCGUCAUUGAUGUUGCCCAAUAGGAGACUCCUUUCCGAAGACUCCAUGUUAAUCCUCGUGAAACGUGCUAGAAAAUAAAGAUAAAUCUAAGAAAUUCUCACAAAAAUCACAAAUAUCGGGUCAUCAAUUCAGCAGUUCAAUCGUCAUAAUCACUAGAUCUAUUUUUUUCUAAAAAAUUACCCACCUUUUUCAUAUGAAAACACACUAAAAUAACCCCCUAAUUAUAUAUCUAAAUUACCCAUAUCUUUCAUUAUAAAAAAUAACCUAAAGUACCCCUAAUCUUCAUCUAAAUCACCCACUUAUGCCAUAAUAAAACAAAACUUAAAACAACCCCCAUAAAUUUGCAUCUAAACUGCAUACAUGUCAUGAUUAAAAAUAACCCUUCAAUUCAAAUCUUACCUAUAUCUAUCACUAUUAAAAAUGUAUAUCCCAUAGUACACUUGAUUCUAAAUUACUUGAUUCUUUCAUUGUUAAUACAGAAAAUACUAACUUAAGGUACAUAUGCAUGAUGUGUAUCACUAUAUAGAUCAUGUAUAUAUGUACCGAAAGAAACCUUGAGAAUAUAAAUUUAUAUACUAAACACAUAGUUCAAACUAAAGGUUCAGUUGUAUAACUACCAAACAUAUAUAGAGAUGCGAUGCAAAAUAACAAAAACUAUGAAUGUGGAUGAACUCACUAACUAAGCUACUACAACCGGAUAAAGAUAAGUAUGUAUCUGCAUGAGUAUUGUGUUAGAAUAUUUAAAAGAUGAGAGACAACAAGAUAAUAAAUUUUGAUUAUUAACUAUGAGUCCUAAUUUUCUUUAUAAAUUUUUCGUACUUAUGACUCUCAAAAUUAUUAGCCGUGCGGGAGAACGGAUUGAUGGGCUAGUGUAGAAAAAAUAAUGUGCAGUAUGGCUGGAGCAUUCCCGUUGGUGCAGUUGCAUGUUGAGCUUCUUACGAUGAACUUGUUUUUGUGUCUGAAAUCUCAAAAAUUAUGCUUAUUUAUAAUCUAUUUUCCCCUUUGAGCAACAUCCUUUUUUUAUUUUAUGAUCUGCUGGGCUUCUUUGGUGGCAAAGGCGAACAUAUUGGACGUCGGAGCGCUGUCAUCCUAAG